Molecule: ribosomal RNA, 497 nt
Filed under: uncultured bacterium
Lineage: Bacteria
Description: partial 16S ribosomal RNA
Rfam family: Bacterial small subunit ribosomal RNA
Source: RNAcentral
AGUGAACGCUGGCGGUAGGCCUAACACAUGCAAGUCGAACGGCAGCACAGUAAGAGCUUGCUCUUACUGGUGGCGGGUGGCGGACGGGUGAGGAAUACAUCGGCAUCUACUUUUUCGUGGGGGAUUACGUAAGGACACUUAUGCUAAUACAUCAUACUUCCUACGGGUUAGAUCAGGAGAUCUUCGCACUUUUCCUGUUUCAUUUAGCUGAAUCCGCGUUGCAUUAGCUAGUUGGUAAGGUAACGGCUAACCAAGGCUACGAUGCGUAGCCGAUCUGAGAGGAUGAUCAGCCACACUGGAACUGAGACACGGUCCAGACUCCUACGGGAGGCAGCAGUGGGGAAUAUUGGACAAUGGGCGAAAGCCUGAUGCAGCCAUACCGCGUGAGUGAAGAAGGCCUUCGGGUUGUAAAGCCCUUUUGUUGGGAAAGAAAAGCAGCAGGUUAAUACCCCGAUGUUCUGACGGUACCCAAAGAGUAAGCACCGGCUAACUUCGUG